GACGAACGCUGGCGGCGUGCUUAACACAUGCAAGUCGAACGGUGAAAGCGGAGCUUGCUCCGCUGGAUCAGUGGCGAACGGGUGAGUAACACGUGGGCAACCUGCCCCUCACUUCGGGAUAACUCCGGGAAACCGGGGCUAAUACCGGAUAUGACCUCCUUGGGCAUUCUUGGAGGUGGAAAGAUUUCCGGUGAGGGAUGGGCCCGCGGCCUAUCAGCUUGUUGGUGAGGUAGUGGCUCACCAAGGCGACGACGGGUAGCCGGCCUGAGAGGGCGACCGGCCACACUGGGACUGAGACACGGCCCAGACUCCUACGGGAGGCAGCAGUGGGGAAUAUUGCGCAAUGGGCGAAAGCCUGACGCAGCAACGCCGCGUGCGGGAUGACGGCCUUCGGGUUGUAAACCGCUUUCAGCAGGGAAGAAGCCGCAAGGUGACGGUACCUGCAGAAGAAGCACCGGCUAACUACGUGCCAGCCGCCGCAGUAA
RNAcentral lists this ribosomal RNA (485 nucleotides) under uncultured bacterium. RNAcentral describes it as "partial 16S ribosomal RNA". It matches the Rfam family "Bacterial small subunit ribosomal RNA", at positions 28 to 523 of the family's 1533-position model. The record is from RNAcentral.